AGAGCCCUAAGGCACCAGACCAAAUCUGGAGCGUUUGUUACAAGGGCAGAAGACCGGCGUGAUCUCCCCACGCGCGCCGGCCGGUGCUGCUGGUGGAGAGAACUGACAUCUAACGCAUGUGGCCCAGGAGAACAAAACCUUCCAUUGCACCCCACGCCGCGACUCUCCCCAGCGAAAGGUGCUUCUUUUGGAAGACCGCACGAAGUAAGGAAGAGCCUCUUUUCCUCUUCCUGGAUAUCCCUCCAGGAAUAUUAGAAGCUCCAGGACUCCUUGAUACGACCAGGAAAAGAUCGCAACCGGGUCUUUAAAAUAUCGAUUCCAGCCAGCUUCUGCGUGCUUGACACAUCUUGGCAGAUGGAGAAGUCAAGGCAAUAGAUAACAUGGGCAGCAAAGAUUCUGCUAUAGCACUUCUUUCCUUUCUGUUUUUUCCUUCCCUCCUUCCCUCCUUUUCCCUCUUCUCCCUCCCUCCUUUCCUCCUCCUCCUCUCCCCUUCUCUUCUCCUCCUCCCUCCCUCCCUUUCUCCCUUUCUCCUCUCUUUUCCCCUUCCCUCCCCUGUUUUCGUCCUCCUGAGUACAGUAGACAAGAGGGCUCUCUGUCUACCCCCCCUCCCCCACCCCAUUCCUCAUCCCGUUUCAAAAUAAGAGCGAAUGAAUCACAUUCUAAGCUCUUACCCGUGCAGUUCUGACAAGUUUGGAAAUUACACAAAUCGCGUUUGCAAUUGAGGCCGCGGGAAUCCAAAAGGGAAACAAACGAAACCAGAUGAAAAAAAGUGAUUCCAAGUCAAGAUUUCAAAUGGAAAUCUAAGGUUGAACCAGCCAAAUUUUCGAGACAGCUCACGGCUUAGAGGAAGGUUCAUCUAAAUAAAGGCCGGCUAAAGUGACAUUGCAGGGAUUAAAUCCUUCUUUGGCUGCCUGUGUGACCAGAAGGCUUAUUUGCAAGUUUCUUCUUUCCUGGGGUCCAGAUUAUUAGGUCUCCAGCGCCCUGCAGCUUGACAGAAAGAGAAGCAUGAAAUGAAGGUCAGAGAUGAGAUCCCGCAGCAGGGACGUGGGGGCCUCCCAGGGGCAUUUACGCACCAGAGUGCAAGAUUCUCUGGCCAUCAAGGGAAAUAGCAAACAGAAGCCUUUGUCCUGGGGCACAGCCACCUACCACAAAGCAUCAGACUCCACGUCUGGCCAGAAAGUUCCUGGAGUCCCAUCAGGCCAGUGGGUAUGUAACAUGUGCCUAAUUGUACAGCUAGAGCCUGCAAGUUCAACGUGAGGGAAGGUGGGAAAUGUCUUGAGUGAGGCGAGCAGCUCCUGGCUGGGCUGGGCAGACUCAGCUACCACGUUCACUGCCUUCCUCUCACUAAAGCCGAGAGGGAGGCUGCUCAGCUCUCAGGAAAACUCUUUUGAACCCUGGGCACCUGCUGUCCUCAGUUGGCAUCUCCCACCCUCUGAGCCUCUUCUGCUCCUGCACAACCUGCCUCUUCGCUGAGAUGGAGACGUGAGCCCCCGUGGACGAUGACUGCAGUGUAUAUGAAUGGAGGUGGCCUGGUGAACCCCCACUAUGCCCGGUGGGAUCGGCGCGACAGUGUAGAAAGUGGCUGUCAGACCGAGAGUAGCAAGGAGGGUGAGGAGGGACAGCCCCGCCAGCUGACGCCCUUCGAGAAACUGACACAGGACAUGUCCCAGGAUGAGAAGGUGGUGAGGGAGAUCACGCUGGGGAAACGGAUAGGCUUCUACCGAAUUCGAGGGGAAAUCGGAAGUGGAAACUUCUCCCAAGUGAAGCUUGGGAUUCACUCCCUAACCAAAGAAAAGGUGGCCAUUAAGAUCCUGGACAAGACCAAGUUAGACCAGAAAACCCAGAGGCUACUAUCCCGAGAAAUCUCCAGCAUGGAAAAGCUGCACCAUCCCAACAUCAUCCGCCUUUACGAAGUGGUGGAGACCCUAUCCAAGCUGCACUUGGUGAUGGAGUAUGCAGGGGGUGGGGAGCUCUUCGGAAAAAUUAGCACUGAGGGGAAGCUCUCUGAACCAGAAAGCAAGCUCAUCUUCUCCCAGAUUGUGUCUGCCGUGAAGCACAUGCAUGAAAACCAAAUUAUUCAUAGAGAUCUGAAAGCAGAAAAUGUAUUCUAUACCAGUAAUACUUGUGUGAAGGUGGGCGAUUUUGGAUUCAGCACAGUAAGCAAAAAAGGUGAAAUGCUGAACACUUUCUGUGGGUCUCCUCCCUACGCUGCGCCUGAACUCUUCCGGGACGAGCACUACAUCGGCAUUUACGUGGAUAUCUGGGCCUUGGGGGUGCUUUUGUACUUCAUGGUGACUGGCACCAUGCCAUUUCGGGCAGAAACCGUGGCCAAACUAAAAAAGAGCAUCCUCGAGGGCACAUACAGUGUACCGCCGCACGUGUCAGAGCCCUGCCACCGACUCAUCCGAGGAGUCCUUCAGCAGAUCCCCACGGAGAGGUACGGAAUCGACUGCAUCAUGAAUGAUGAAUGGAUGCAAGGGGUGCCAUACCCUACACCUUUGGAACCUUUCCAACUGGAUCCCAAACAUUUGUCGGAAACCAGCACUCUCAAGGAAGAAGAAAAUGAGGUCAAAAGCACUUUAGAACAUUUGGGCAUUACAGAAGAGCAUAUUCGAAAUAACCAAGGGAGAGAUGCUCGCAGCUCAAUCACAGGGGUCUAUAGAAUUAUUUUACAUAGAGUCCAAAGGAAGAAGGCUUUGGAAAGUGUCCCAGUCAUGAUGCUACCAGACCCUAAAGAAAGAGACCUCAAAAAAGGGUCCCGUGUCUACAGAGGGAUAAGACACACAUCCAAAUUUUGCUCGAUUUUAUAAAUUGCACUAGACUGCUUGUAACUAACCAAGAUGAUUGUUGCUGCUUCUAAAUUUUUUUCAAGGACAACUUGAGUGGAGACAUUUUUGUAAUUUUUAAAUAAACUUAAAUUUGAGAUAUGCA
Homo sapiens (human) is the source of this 2931-nucleotide RNA transcript. It is a transcript of the gene named NIM1 serine/threonine protein kinase, with no coding region annotated. The record is from RefSeq and is marked validated. The transcript has 4 exons. Lineage: Eukaryota; Metazoa; Chordata; Mammalia; Primates; Hominidae.